This 253-nucleotide ribosomal RNA is filed under the name uncultured bacterium. RNAcentral's name for it is "partial 16S ribosomal RNA". It matches the Rfam family "Bacterial small subunit ribosomal RNA", at positions 524 to 776 of the family's 1533-position model. The record is from RNAcentral.
UACGGAGGGUGCAAGCGUUGUCCGGAUUUAUUGGGUUUAAAGGGUGCGUAGGCGGCCCCUUAAGUCAGUGGUGAAAGCCCGCGGCUCAACCGCGGAACUGCCAUUGAUACUGGGGGGCUUGAGUACAGACGAGGUAGGCGGAAUUGAAGAUGUAGCGGUGAAAUGCUUAGAUAUCGUCAAGAACACCGAUUGCGUAGGCAGCUUACUAGGCUGUAACUGACGCUGAGGCACGAAAGCGUGGGGAGCGAACAGG